Molecule: ribosomal RNA, 169 nt
Filed under: uncultured bacterium
Lineage: Bacteria
Description: partial 16S ribosomal RNA
Rfam family: Bacterial small subunit ribosomal RNA
Source: RNAcentral
CCUACGGGAGGCAGCAGUAGGGAAUAUUGCGCAAUGGAGGAAACCCUGAACCAGCAACGCCGCGUGAAGGAAGAAGGCUUUCGGGUUGUAAACUUCUUUUACCAGGGACGAUAGUGACGGUACCUGGUGAAUAAGCUCCGGCUAACUACGUGCCAGCAGCCGCGGUAAU